RNAcentral lists this long non-coding RNA (368 nucleotides) under Homo sapiens (human). Its description in RNAcentral is "long non-coding RNA NONHSAT072249.2". The record is from RNAcentral. Lineage: Eukaryota; Metazoa; Chordata; Mammalia; Primates; Hominidae.
UUAUUUCAGGAUCCAGUGGGGAUGUUGUGAUGACUCAGUCUCCACUCUCCCUGCCCGUCACCCUUGGACAGCCGGCCUCCAUCUCCUGCAGGUCUAGUCAAAGCCUCGUAUACAGUGAUGGAAACACCUACUUGAAUUGGUUUCAGCAGAGGCCAGGCCAAUCUCCAAGGCGCCUAAUUUAUAAGGUUUCUAACCGGGACUCUGGGGUCCCAGACAGAUUCAGCGGCAGUGGGUCAGGCACUGAUUUCACACUGAAAAUCAGCAGGGUGGAGGCUGAGGAUGUUGGGGUUUAUUACUGCAUGCAAGGUACACCAUUGUGUGUGCAGUUUUGGCCAGGGGACCAAGCUGGAGAUCAAACGUAAGUACUU